Molecule: ribosomal RNA, 824 nt
Filed under: Massilia suwonensis
Lineage: Bacteria; Pseudomonadati; Pseudomonadota; Betaproteobacteria; Burkholderiales; Oxalobacteraceae
Description: bacterial SSU rRNA
Rfam family: Bacterial small subunit ribosomal RNA
Source: RNAcentral
CGGGCUUCGGCCUGGUGGCGAGUGGCGAACGGGUGAGUAAUAUAUCGGAACGUACCCAAGAGUGGGGGAUAACGUAGCGAAAGUUACGCUAAUACCGCAUACGAUCUACGGAUGAAAGCAGGGGACCGCAAGGCCUUGUGCUCCUGGAGCGGCCGAUAUCUGAUUAGCUAGUUGGUGAGGUAAAGGCUCACCAAGGCGACGAUCAGUAGCUGGUCUGAGAGGACGACCAGCCACACUGGAACUGAGACACGGUCCAGACUCCUACGGGAGGCAGCAGUGGGGAAUUUUGGACAAUGGGCGCAAGCCUGAUCCAGCAAUGCCGCGUGAGUGAAGAAGGCCUUCGGGUUGUAAAGCUCUUUUGUCAGGGAAGAAACGGUAGAGGCUAAUAUCCUUUGCUAAUGACGGUACCUGAAGAAUAAGCACCGGCUAACUACGUGCCAGCAGCCGCGGUAAUACGUAGGGUGCAAGCGUUAAUCGGAAUUACUGGGCGUAAAGCGUGCGCAGGCGGUUUUGUAAGUCUGUCGUGAAAGCCCCGGGCUCAACCUGGGAAUUGCGAUGGAGACUGCAAGGCUUGAAUCUGGCAGAGGGGGGUAGAAUUCCACGUGUAGCAGUGAAAUGCGUAGAGAUGUGGAGGAACACCGAUGGCGAAGGCAGCCCCCUGGGUCAAGAUUGACGCUCAUGCACGAAAGCGUGGGGAGCAAACAGGAUUAGAUACCCUGGUAGUCCACGCCCUAAACGAUGUCUACUAGUUGUCGGGUUUUAAUUAACUUGGUAACGCAGCUAACGCGUGAAGUAGACCGCCUGGGGAGUACGGUCGCAAGAUU